CAUGAAACAGACGCCGUUUUUCUUCGCACGCUUUUUUACCUUCCCCUGAAUGGGAGGCGUUUCGUCGUGUAAGAGUAUGUGCGAAGACGAACAGCAAGGCCUCCCAAACCGGGGGGCCUUUUUUUA
The sequence is a regulatory RNA element, 126 nucleotides long. It matches the Rfam family "Phenylalanine leader peptide". The record is from Rfam.